CCAGCUCUCUUUGCCAAUUGGCUUAGAUCAAGUGUAGUAUCUGUUCUUUUCAGUUUAAUCUCUGAAAGUUUUCUGUCAAAGAAAACACAUUGAUUAUUCUCAUUUUUGGAUCUCGCGACUUGGCCUCUGUGCUUGCGCAUGCCUCGUCGCACAGUGUCAUCGGGCUUACACUACCCCCGAUCGACGCGAACCCCC
Molecule: small nuclear RNA, 195 nt
Filed under: Penicillium oxalicum 114-2
Lineage: Eukaryota; Fungi; Ascomycota; Eurotiomycetes; Eurotiales; Aspergillaceae
Description: U2 spliceosomal RNA
Rfam family: U2 spliceosomal RNA
About the family: U2 is a small nuclear RNA (snRNA) component of the spliceosome (involved in pre-mRNA splicing). Complementary binding between U2 snRNA (in an area lying towards the 5' end but 3' to hairpin I) and the branchpoint sequence (BPS) of the intron results the bulging out of an unpaired adenosine, on the BPS, which initiates a nucleophilic attack at the intronic 5' splice site, thus starting the first of two transesterification reactions that mediate splicing.
Source: Rfam by way of RNAcentral